RNAcentral lists this ribosomal RNA (253 nucleotides) under uncultured bacterium. RNAcentral describes it as "partial 16S ribosomal RNA". It matches the Rfam family "Bacterial small subunit ribosomal RNA", at positions 524 to 776 of the family's 1533-position model. The record is from RNAcentral.
GACGUAGGGGCCGAGCGUUGUCCGGAUUCAUUGGGCGUAAAGAGCUCGUAGGCGGUCGCGUAAGUCGGGUGUGAAAUCUCCGGGCUCAACCCGGAGGGGCCACCCGAUACUGCUCGACUUGAGUCCGGUAGGGGAGUGGUGAAUUCCUCGUGUAGCGGUGAAAUGCGCAGAUAUCAGGAGGCACACCGGUGGCGAAGGCGGCACUCUGGGCCGGUCCUGACGCUGAGGACCGAAAGCGUGGGGAGCAAACAGG